GGUACCGAUGAGCCAAGCUUGCUUGGAACAUCGGGAGAGUGGCAAACGGGUGAGUAACACGUAAGUAACCUGCCCCUAAGUAGGGGAUAACUCUGAGAAAUUGGAGCUAAUACCGUAUGUGGUGGUGGAGGUAAGGCUUCAUCACUAAAGCCUUCGGGCGCUUGGGGAGGGGCUUGUGUCCGAUUAGCUAGUUGGUAGGGUAACGGUUUACCAAGGCGAUGAUCGGUAGCUGGUCUGAGAGGACGAUCAGCCACACUGGGACUGAGAUACGGCCCAGACUCCUAUGGGAGGCAGCAGCAAGGAAUUUUGUGCAAUGGGCGAAAGCCUGACACAGCGACACCGCGUGGGGGAUGAAGGCCUUCGGGUUGUAAACCUCUUUUCUCAGGGAAGAAUAAUGACGGUACCUGAGGAAUAAGUCUCGGCUAACUACGUGCCAGCAGCCGCGGUAAUACGUAGGAGGCGAGCGUUAUCCGGAUUUACUGGGCGUAAAGAGGGCGUAGGCGGCUUUUCAAGUCGGGUGUGAAAUCUCCCUGCUUAAUGGGGAGGGGUCAUUCGAUACUGUUAAGCUAGAGGGCAGCAGAGGGAGGUGGAAUUCCCGGUGGAGUGGUGAAAUGCGUAGAUAUCGGGAGGAACACCAGUGGCGAAGGCGGCCUCCUGGGCUGUUUCUGACGUUGAGGCCCGAAAGCGUGGGGAGCGAACAGGAUUAGAUACCCUGGUAGUCCACGCUGUUAACGAUGGAUACUAAGUAUAGGGAGUAUCGACCCUCUCUGUGCCGAAGCUAACGCGUUAAGUAUCCCGCCUGGGGACUACGG
RNAcentral lists this ribosomal RNA (812 nucleotides) under uncultured bacterium. RNAcentral's name for it is "bacterial SSU rRNA". It matches the Rfam family "Bacterial small subunit ribosomal RNA", at positions 68 to 885 of the family's 1533-position model. The record is from RNAcentral.